GUGCGGUAACGCAUUCAGCCGACCGGUACUAAUCGGCCGAGGGCUUGGAUCG
Molecule: ribosomal RNA, 52 nt
Filed under: Actinomycetota bacterium
Lineage: Bacteria; Bacillati; Actinomycetota
Description: Actinobacteria bacterium partial 23S ribosomal RNA
Source: RNAcentral